UACAGCGGUCUCAAGCGUUGUUCGGAUUCAUUGGGCGUAAAGGGUGCGUAGGCGGCGCGGUAAGUCGGGUGUGAAAUCUCGGAGCUUAACUCCGAAACUGCAUUCGAUACUGCCGUGCUUGAGGACUGGAGAGGAGACUGGAAUUUACGGUGUAGCGGUGAAAUGCGUAGAUAUCGUAAGGAGGACCAGUGGCGAAGGCGGGUCUCUGGACAGUUCCUGACGCUGAGGCACGAAGGUCAGGGGAGCAAACGGG
RNAcentral lists this ribosomal RNA (253 nucleotides) under uncultured bacterium. Its description in RNAcentral is "partial 16S ribosomal RNA". It matches the Rfam family "Bacterial small subunit ribosomal RNA", at positions 524 to 776 of the family's 1533-position model. The record is from RNAcentral.